GAGUUUGAUCAUGGCUCAGGAUGAACGUUGGCGGUGUGCCUAAUACAUGCAAGUCGAACGGAGUUAAUAGCAAUAUUGGCUCAGUGGCGAACGGGUGAGUAACGCGUUGGUGAUCUGCCUUGAAGUGUGGAAUAACGUUUCGAAAGGAACGCUAAUACCGCAUGUGCUCUCGAUUUUCAGAAAGUUGAGAGUAAAGGAUUUAUUCGCUUCAAGAGGAGCCUGCGUCCCAUCAGCUGGUUGGUAGGGUAACGGCCUACCAAGGCUAUGACGGGUAGGGGACCUGAGAGGGUGGCCCCCCACAAUGGAACUGAAACACGGUCCAUACACCUACGGGUGGCAGCAGUAGGGAAUAUUAGAAAUGGACGAAAGUCUGAUCUAGCAACACCGCGUGUGCGAAGAAGGCCUUCGGGUCGUAAAGCACUUUUUGGAAGGAAUAGGAAGGAAUGUACUUCCAGAAUAAGUCUCGGCUAACUACGUGCCAGCAGCCGCGGUAACACGUAGGAGGCAAACGUUAUCCGGAUUUACUGGGCGUAAAGCGCGUGUAGGUGGUACUGUAAGUAGGGCGUGAAAGCUCCUGGCUCAACUGGGAGAGGCCGUUCUAAACUACAGAACUAGAGGAUGGUAGAGGGAGGUGGAAUUCCAGGUGUAGCGGUGGAAUGCGCAGAUAUCUGGAGGAACACCGGUGGCGAAGGCAGCCUCCUGGACCAUUCCUGACACUCAGACGCGAAAGCUAGGGUAGCAAACGGGAUUAGAGACCCCGGUAGUCCUAGCCCUAAACGAUGUAGACUAGGCGUCGGAAGCUUAAUCGCUUUCGGUGUCCAAGCUAACGCGAUAAGUCUACCGCCUGGGGACUACGGCCGCAAGGUUAAGACUCAAAGGAAUUGACGGGUCCCCGCACAGCAGCGA
Molecule: ribosomal RNA, 906 nt
Filed under: uncultured bacterium
Lineage: Bacteria
Description: bacterial SSU rRNA
Rfam family: Bacterial small subunit ribosomal RNA
Source: RNAcentral